RNAcentral lists this ribosomal RNA (711 nucleotides) under Triticum aestivum (bread wheat). RNAcentral's name for it is "partial small subunit ribosomal RNA". Lineage: Eukaryota; Viridiplantae; Streptophyta; Magnoliopsida; Poales; Poaceae. The record is from RNAcentral.
AUGGGACACUGGCACGAAGAAUGUGGCACAGGAGAGCAUGAUGUGAGUAAGUUUGAAUGGGGGAGUUUUUUGCUUGCCACAAGGAGAGGCAGAGGAGGAGGCCGUGGUGAUCGAAGCUCAAGCGAUCGUCAGAGAAGUGGGAAAGAGGACUACAGUACCCGUGGUAGGGGUCCUGGAAGAGGAUUUGGUCGAGAACAUGCAAGUAAUAUGGACCAGAGCCACCCUGUUGAUCUAAAAAAUGGGGGAACAACUCAUGUUAGUUGGAGGCAUAACUCUGUACAUAAUGCAAGUGCAGGUUUAGAAAUUGUGGCUGGAGGGGGUUUUGGCCCAGUUACUAAUAGUCAGGAUGUGAGGACGGCAAUGGCCUCGGACAAUAUCUUGGGGAAGAGGUUAGCAGCGGAUAGUAAUUCGGGUGCUUCUUCUGAGAUGAUAACAGGGUCUGAUUUGGUGCCGGGGACGACCCUUGUUUCUUAUACUGAAUCUAAAUCAGAAGCUACCCCUGAAACAGCGACAGUGGCAGGAAAAGCCAGCAUGUUUGAAGGAGAAACAGAGGAGGAGGAAGACAAAUCCACCCUUGUGGGUACACCCCAAAAAAAUGCAAACAGAAAGAAGCUGAGAGGACGUGAAGGCCAGGCGGUGGACAGUAACUUCAACAUGACAAAUGAAGCAGGAUCGACGACACCCCUCGAGGGUGAUCGCCGGGAGCAAUGA